Molecule: long non-coding RNA, 973 nt
Filed under: Equus caballus (horse)
Lineage: Eukaryota; Metazoa; Chordata; Mammalia; Perissodactyla; Equidae
Description: lncRNA (ENSECAG00000045021.1)
Source: RNAcentral
AUCGACGAUCCAGAGACUGGGCUUCAGUGUGUGGGGUUGGGGCCUGAGGUCUGGGUUCUGGGAUCUGGAGCCCGGGGUCUGAGGCCUAAGGUCUGGGAUAUAAGGUCUGCAGUCUGGGGUCCAGGCCCCGGGGUUCAGAGUCUGAGAUCAAAGGGAUGGGACCCCUGGGUCUGAAGAUGUAGGAGCGGAGGCUGCUGACCUGGGAUCUGAGGUCGGGGCUCUGAGGUCUGAGGUCUGGGGCCCCAGUUCCGGGGUCUGGGGCCUAGUAUCUGAAGUAUGAGGUCUAGGAUCUAGGAUCUGGGGUCCGAGGUCUGAGGUCUGGGAUCUGGGGCCCAGGAUUCUGGAUCCGAGUCUGAGUGUGAGAUCUGAGGUCUGAGAUACGGGAUCUAGAAUCUGGGACCCAGGGUCUGAAGGAAAGGAUCUAGAAUCUGGGGCCGGGGUCUGAGGAAAAGGAUCUAGAAUCUGGGUUCUGGGGUCUGAGGUAAAGGAUCUAGAAUCUGGGUCCUGGGGUCUGAGGUAAAGGAUCUAGAAUCUGGGUCCUGGGGUCUGAGGUAAAGGAUCUAGAAUCUGGGUCCUGGGGUCUGAGGUAAAGGAUCUAGAAUCUUGGACCCUGGCCUGAGGUAAAGGAUCUAGAAUCUUAGACCUGGGGUCUGAGGUGAAGGAUCUAGAAUCUGGGACCCAGGGUCUGAGGUGAAGAAUCUAGAAUCUUGGACCUAGGGUCUGAGGUGAAGGAUCUAGAAUCUGGGACCUGGGGUCCGAGGUGAAGGAUCUAGAAUCUGGGACCUGGGGUCCGAGGUGAAGGAUCUAGAAUCUGGGACCUGGUGUCUGAGGUAAAGGAUCUGGAAUCUGGGACCUGGAGUCUGAGGUGAAGGAUCUAGAAUCUGGGACCUGGCGUCUGAGGUAAAGGAUCUAGAAUCUGGGACCCAGGUCUGAGGUCAGGGAUCUGGUAUGCGGUCCAGAGCGUGAGGGACGG